CCUAACACAUGCAAGUCGAACGCCGUAGCAAUACGGAGUGGCAGACGGGUGAGUAACACGUGGAACGUACCUUCGGUUCGGAAUAACUCAGGGAAACUUGAGCUAAUACCGGAUACGUCGCGAGAGCAGAAAGAUUUAUCGCCGAAAGAUCGGCCCGCGUCCGAUUAGCUAGUUGGUGAGGUAAUGGCUCACCAAGGCGACGAUCGGUAGCUGGUCUGAGAGGAUGAUCAGCCACACUGGGACUGAGACACGGCCCAGACUCCUACGGGAGGCAGCAGUGGGGAAUAUUGGACAAUGGGCGAAAGCCUGAUCCAGCCAUGCCGCGUGAGUGAUGACGGCCUUAGGGUUGUAAAGCUCUUUCGCCAGGGACGAUAAUGACGGUACCUGGAUAAGAAGCCCCCGGCUAACUUCGUGCCAGCAGCCGCGGUAAUACGAAGGGGGCUAGCGUUGUUCGGAUUUAC
Molecule: ribosomal RNA, 461 nt
Filed under: uncultured bacterium
Lineage: Bacteria
Description: bacterial SSU rRNA
Rfam family: Bacterial small subunit ribosomal RNA
Source: RNAcentral